AGUUUGAUCCUGGCUCAGGAUGAACGCUAGCUACAGGCUUAACACAUGCAAGUCGAGGGGCAGCAUUGGAGUAGCAAUACUUCAGAUGGCGACCGGCGCACGGGUGAGUAACACGUAUCCAACCUGCCGCUUACUCGGGGAUAGCCUUUCGAAAGAAAGAUUAAUACCCGAUGGUAUAAAGAGUUCGCAUGUUCUCUUUAUUAAAGAAUUUCGGUAAGCGAUGGGGAUGCGUUCCAUUAGAUUGUUGGCGGGGUAACGGCCCACCAAGUCUACGAUGGAUAGGGGUUCUGAGAGGAAGGUCUCCCACAUUGGAACUGAGACACGGUCCAAACUCCUACGGGAGGCAGCAGUGAGGAAUAUUGGUCAAUGGACGCGAGUCUGAACCAGCCAAGUAGCGUGAAGGAUGACUGCCCUAUGGGUUGUAAACUUCUUUUAUAAGGGAAUAAAGUGAGGGACGUGUCCCUUUUUGUAUGUACCUUAUGAAUAAGGAUCGGCUAACUCCGUGCCAGCAGCCGCGGUAAUACGGAGGAUCCAAGCGUUAUCCGGAUUUAUUGGGUUUAAAGGGAGCGUAGGUUGACAUAUAAGUCAGCUGUGAAAGUUUACGGCUCAACCGUGAAAUUGCAGUUGAUACUGUAUGUCUUGAGUGUACAAGAGGUGGGCGGAAUUCGUGGUGUAGCGGUGAAAUGCUUAGAUAUCACGAAGAACUCCAAUUGCGAAGGCAGCUCACUGGGGUACAACUGACACUGAGGCUCGAAAGUGUGGGUAUCAAACAGGAUUAGAUACCCUGGUAGUCCACACAGUAAACGAUGAAUACUCGCUGUUUGCGAUAUACAGUAAGCGGCCAAGCGAAAGCAUUAAGUAUUCCACCUGGGGAGUACGCCGGCAACGGUGAAACUCAAAGGAAUUGACGGGGGCCCGCACAAGCGGAGGAACAUGUGGUUUAAUUCGAUGAUACGCGAGGAACCUUACCCGGGCUUGAAUUGCAGAGGAACAUAGUUGAAAGAUUAUGGCCGCAAGGUCUCUGUGAAGGUGCUGCAUGGUUGUCGUCAGCUCGUGCCGUGAGGUGUCGGCUUAAGUGCCAUAACGAGCGCAACCCUUAUCUUCAGUUACUAACAGGUUAUGCUGAGGACUCUGGAGAGACUGCCGUCGUAAGAUGUGAGGAAGGUGG
This 1168-nucleotide ribosomal RNA is filed under the name uncultured Bacteroides sp. RNAcentral describes it as "bacterial SSU rRNA". It matches the Rfam family "Bacterial small subunit ribosomal RNA", at positions 10 to 1176 of the family's 1533-position model. Lineage: Bacteria; Pseudomonadati; Bacteroidota; Bacteroidia; Bacteroidales; Bacteroidaceae. The record is from RNAcentral.